Molecule: ribosomal RNA, 396 nt
Filed under: uncultured bacterium
Lineage: Bacteria
Description: partial 16S ribosomal RNA
Rfam family: Bacterial small subunit ribosomal RNA
Source: RNAcentral
AUACGUAGGUGACAAGCGUUAUCCGGAUUUACUGGGCGUAAAGGGCGUGUAGGCGGUCUUGCAAGUCAGAAGUGAAAUUCCUGAGCUCAACUCGGGCGCUGCUUCUGAAACUGCAGGACUUGAGUGCUGGAGGGGAUAGCGGAAUUCCUAGUGGAGCGGUAAAAUGCGCGGUUAUUAGGAAUAACACCGGUGGCGAAGGCGGCUCGCUGGCCCUUAACUGACGCUGAGGCGCGAAGGCGUGGGGAGCAAAGGGGAUAGGAUCCCCGGGUAGUCCACGCCGUAAACGAUGGAUACUAGGUGUGGGGGUAUCGACUCCCUCUGUGCCGCAGUUAACACAAUAAGUAUUCCGCCUGGGGAGUACGGCCGCAAGGUUGAAACUCAAAGGAAUUGACGGGG